Molecule: long non-coding RNA, 278 nt
Organism: Manacus vitellinus (golden-collared manakin)
Lineage: Eukaryota; Metazoa; Chordata; Aves; Passeriformes; Pipridae
Exons: 3
Source: RefSeq, a predicted model, not a curated record
UGCUAGAUUUUUAUGACAAGAGCAUGUAGAAGCCCUGGAUCAUUGUUCAGACAGGGAAGGUGACCAAUUUAUCAGGUCCUGAGGAUGUUGAAAGUGCAGGGAAACAUCUGAGAUUGGGUUUAUGUGGCCAACUGAAACCAAAGCACACCUUCCCCACGCUGAGGAACCUGCCUAUGCUUGGAAAGCAAGGGGACAGCAACACCCUCUGACUGCAAUUCAAGAGAACCCCAAAUAGGCACAAGACACUUGUUUUCAAUUAGUUAGGGUUAUCCUCCUGC